GCUUAGCCUUAAACCUAGAUACUAAUUUUACAAAAUUAUCCGCCAGGGUACUACAAGCGCUAGCUUGAAACCCAAAGGACUUGACGGUGUCUCAGACCCACCUAGAGGAGCCUGUUCUAGAACCGAUAUUCCUCGUUAAACCUCACCACCCCUUGUCUCCACAGCCUAUAUACCGCCGUCGCAAGCUUACCCUGUGAAGGAUAAACAGUAAGCAAAAUGGAUAAUGUCCAAAACGUCAGGUCGAGGUGUAGCUUACGGGGUGGGAAGAAAUGGGCUACAUUUUCUAAUCUUAGAACAAACGAACGGCAUUAUGAAAUUAAUCCCUAAAGGUGGAUUUAGAAGUAAAAAUCAAAUAGAGAGUCAUUUUGAACCAGGCUCUGAGACGCGC
Molecule: ribosomal RNA, 388 nt
Filed under: Megalamphodus erythrostigmus (bleeding-heart tetra)
Lineage: Eukaryota; Metazoa; Chordata; Actinopteri; Characiformes; Acestrorhamphidae
Description: Hyphessobrycon erythrostigma (bleeding-heart tetra) partial 12S ribosomal RNA
Rfam family: Bacterial small subunit ribosomal RNA
Source: RNAcentral